AUGCAACGCGAAGAACCUUACCUACUCUUGACAUCCAGAGAACUUAGCAGAGAUGCUUUGGUGCCUUCGGGAACUCUGAGACAGGUGCUGCAUGGCUGUCGUCAGCUCGUGUUGUGAAAUGUUGGGUUAAGUCCCGCAACGAGCGCAACCCUUAUCCUUUGUUGCCAGCGGUUAGGCCGGGAACUCAAAGGAGACUGCCAGUGAUAAACUGGAGGAAGGUGGGGAUGACGUCAAGUCAUCAUGGCCCUUACGAGUAGGGCUACACACGUGCUACAAUGGCAUAUACAAAGAGAAGCGACCUCGCGAGAGCAAGCGGACCUCAUAAAGUAUGUCGUAGUCCGGAUUGGAGUCUGCAACUCGACUCCAUGAAGUCGGAAUCGCUAGUAAUCGUGGAUCAGAAUGCCACGGUGAAUACGUUCCCGGGCCUUGUAC
This 432-nucleotide ribosomal RNA is filed under the name Citrobacter sp. RNAcentral describes it as "bacterial SSU rRNA". It matches the Rfam family "Bacterial small subunit ribosomal RNA", at positions 954 to 1386 of the family's 1533-position model. The record is from RNAcentral. Lineage: Bacteria; Pseudomonadati; Pseudomonadota; Gammaproteobacteria; Enterobacterales; Enterobacteriaceae.